AUACGUAGGGUGCGAGCGUUAAUCGGAAUUACUGGGCGUAAAGCGUGCGCAGGCGGUUAUGCAAGACAGAUGUGAAAUCCCCGGGCUCAACCUGGGAACUGCAUUAGUGACUGCAUAGCUAGAGUGCGGCAGAGGGGGAUGGAAUUCCGCGUGUAGCAGUGAAAUGCGUAGAUAUGCGGAGGAACACCGAUGGCGAAGGCAAUCCCCUGGGCCUGCACUGACGCUCAUGCACGAAAGCGUGGGGAGCAAACAGGAUUAGAUACCCUGGUAGUCCACGCCCUAAACGAUGUCAACUGGUUGUUGGGGAUUUACUUCCUCAGUAACGAAGCUAACGCGUGAAGUUGACCGCCUGGGGAGUACGGCCGCAAGGUUAAA
RNAcentral lists this ribosomal RNA (375 nucleotides) under uncultured bacterium. RNAcentral describes it as "bacterial SSU rRNA". It matches the Rfam family "Bacterial small subunit ribosomal RNA", at positions 523 to 898 of the family's 1533-position model. The record is from RNAcentral.